GGAAAAUUUACAACUCUUUUAUAGUUUUAUCUCCAGUAGUGUGCCCUCCUAUGCUUCUCAAGUAAACCUCCAAUCAAAAAUAAUGAUCCUGCUUUUAUAAAUAGGCAUACUUUGGAAAUUUACAGAAGAAAUCAAUUAAUAAGACAUAAUAUUGGGAUUUGGCAGUCAAGACAUGGACUAAAUGACAGUAUAUUUAACAGAAAAUUAGAAGAAAGAAACCCACUAAUGAGUUUCUGAGAGAGAUAAGAUUAGAAAAACAGUA
RNAcentral lists this unclassified non-coding RNA (262 nucleotides) under Hevea brasiliensis (rubber tree). The record is from RNAcentral. Lineage: Eukaryota; Viridiplantae; Streptophyta; Magnoliopsida; Malpighiales; Euphorbiaceae.